GGUGAGUAACACGUGGGCAACCUGCCUGUAAGACUGGGAUAACUUCGGGAAACCGAAGCUAAUACCGGAUAGGAUCUUCUCCUUCAUGGGAGAUGAUUGAAAGAUGGUUUCGGCUAUCACUUACAGAUGGGCCCGCGGUGCAUUAGCUAGUUGGUGAGGUAACGGCUCACCAAGGCAACGAUGCAUAGCCGACCUGAGAGGGUGAUCGGCCACACUGGGACUGAGACACGGCCCAGACUCCUACGGGAGGCAGCAGUAGGGAAUCUUCCGCAAUGGACGAAAGUCUGACGGAGCAACGCCGCGUGAGUGAUGAAGGCUUUCGGGUCGUAAAACUCUGUUGUUAGGGAAGAACAAGUACAAGAGUAACUGCUUGUACCUUGACGGUACCUAACCAGAAAGCCACGGCUAACUACGUGCCAGCAGCCGCGGUAAUACGUAGGUGGCAAGCGUUAUCCGGAAUUAUUGGGCGUAAAGC
Molecule: ribosomal RNA, 475 nt
Filed under: Priestia megaterium
Lineage: Bacteria; Bacillati; Bacillota; Bacilli; Caryophanales; Bacillaceae
Description: bacterial SSU rRNA
Rfam family: Bacterial small subunit ribosomal RNA
Source: RNAcentral